AAGGAGAAAAGCGAAGGCGAGCGUUUCGCCGCGAUGGGCAAAUGUUCUUCGCCUGGAGGGAUGUUUACAUCCCGAAGGCGAAGGUUAUUUGACCCCGAGCGGCGGCGAGCCGGAGCUAGACAGGGAGAAAAGCGGAAGCGCCGCGAUUGGCGGCGAGCUAACGUUAGACAUCCUAAACGCGCUUCUGUUUCGUUCAGUUUUGAAGGAAUGAGAAAUUCCUUCAGUUGCUUCGCAUCUGUGCCUGCGUCUGCUAGCAGGUUCAGGGAAGCAAGAUUCCUCGGCACAAAGCCGCAAGGAAGUUUGUUCAAAGAAGUCGCUUUGCGUCUACAAACGGAUUCGAGGAAGUGGGAUUCCUCGAUGCAAGACUGCAGAGAAGUGAAUUCAAGAAGCAGUCUCGUUUGCGUCUGCGUCUACAAGUGGAUUCGGAGAAGCCGAAUUCCUCGACGCAAACCAGCGAAGAAGCAGGUUCAAGGCAGCAACUUUGCAUCUGCGUCUUCUAGCAGAUUCGAGGAAGCGGGAUUCCUCGAUGCAAGACUGCAGAGAAGCAAAUUCAAGAAGCAGUCUCGUUCCUUGAAAACUAGAUAACCGGAAAAGCGGAGGCGAGCGUUUCGCCGCGAUGGGCAAAUGUUCUUCGCCUGGAGGGAUGUUCACAUCCCGAAGGCGAAGGUUAUUUGACCCCGAGCGGCGGCGAGCUGAACUAGACAUAAGGAAGAAGCCGAGAGCGCAAUA
RNAcentral lists this unclassified non-coding RNA (729 nucleotides) under Geobacillus lituanicus. RNAcentral describes it as "16S-23S ribosomal RNA intergenic spacer". The record is from RNAcentral. Lineage: Bacteria; Bacillati; Bacillota; Bacilli; Caryophanales; Anoxybacillaceae.